AUUGAACGCUGGCGGCAGGCUUAACACAUGCAAGUCGAGCGGGGGAAGGUAGCUUGCUACUGGACCUAGCGGCGGACGGGUGAGUAAUGCUUAGGAAUCUGCCUAUUAGUGGGGGACAACAUCUUGAAAGGGAUGCUAAUACCGCAUACGUCCUACGGGAGAAAGCAGGGGAUCUUCGGACCUUGCUCUAAUAGAUGAGCCUAAGUCGGAUUAGCAAGUGGGUGGGGUAAAGGCCUACAAAGGGGACGAUCGGUAGCGGGUCUGAGAGGAUGAGCCGCCAAACUGGGACUGAGACACGGCCCAGACUCCUACGGGAGGCAGCAGUGGGGAAUAUUGGACAAUGGGGGGAACCCUGAUCCAGCCAUGCCGCGUGUGUGAAGAAGGCCUUAUGGUUGUAAAGCACUUUAAGCGAGGAGGAGGCUACUUUAGUUAAUACCUAGAGAUAGUGGACGUUACUCGCAGAAUAAGCACCGGCUAACUCUGUGCCAGCAGCCGCCGUAA
This 501-nucleotide ribosomal RNA is filed under the name uncultured bacterium. RNAcentral describes it as "partial 16S ribosomal RNA". It matches the Rfam family "Bacterial small subunit ribosomal RNA", at positions 30 to 523 of the family's 1533-position model. The record is from RNAcentral.